This 459-nucleotide ribosomal RNA is filed under the name uncultured bacterium. Its description in RNAcentral is "bacterial SSU rRNA". It matches the Rfam family "Bacterial small subunit ribosomal RNA", at positions 34 to 507 of the family's 1533-position model. The record is from RNAcentral.
CGCUGGCGGCGUGCUUAACACAUGCAAGUCGAACGGAAAGGCCCAGCUUGCUGGGUACUCGAGUGGCGAACGGGUGAGUAACACGUGGGUGAUCUGCCCAAACUUCGGGAUAAGCCUGGGAAACUGGGUCUAAUACCGGAUAUGACCUGCUCCUGCAUGGGGGUUGGUGGAAAGCUUUUGCGGUUUGGGAUGGGCCCGCGGCCUAUCAGCUUGUUGGUGGGGUAAUGGCCUACCAAGGCGACGACGGGUAGCCGACCUGAGAGGGUGAUCGGCCACACUGGGACUGAGACACGGCCCAGACUCCUACGGGAGGCAGCAGUGGGGAAUAUUGCACAAUGGGCGCAAGCCUGAUGCAGCGACGCCGCGUGAGGGAUGACGGCCUUCGGGUUGUAAACCUCUUUCGCCAGGGACGAAGCGCAAGUGACGGUACCUGGAGAAGAAGCACCGGCCAACUACGUG